RNAcentral lists this ribosomal RNA (461 nucleotides) under uncultured bacterium. Its description in RNAcentral is "partial 16S ribosomal RNA". It matches the Rfam family "Bacterial small subunit ribosomal RNA", at positions 338 to 795 of the family's 1533-position model. The record is from RNAcentral.
CCUACGGGAGGCUGCAGUGAGGAAUAUUGGUCAAUGGGCGAGAGCCUGAACCAGCCAAGUCGCGUGAAGGAUGACGGCCCUACGGGUUGUAAACUUCUUUUGUCAGGGAGCAAUUGGGUCCACGCGUGGGCUUAGCGAGAAUACCUGAAGAAUAAGGAUCGGCUAACUCCGUGCCAGCAGCCGCGGUAAUACGGAGGAUCCGAGCGUUAUCCUGACUUAUUGGGUUUAAAGGGUGCGUAGGCGGCCUUUUAAGUCAGCGGUGAAAGUCUGUGGCUCAACCAUAGAAUUGCCGUUGAAACUGGCAGUCUUGAGUGGGCGAGAAGUAUGCAGAAUGCGUGGUGUAGCGGUGAAAUGCAUAGAUAUCACGCAGAACUCCGAUUGCGAAGGCAGCAUACCGGCGCCCGACUGACGCUGAGGCACGAAAGCGUGGGUAUCGAACAGGAUUAGAUACCCCUGUAGUC